AUCUUUCUGAAUCCGUGCACAGAUUUCGUCAGACACCAACCCAUUAGGACUGAUCAGACAUCCGAGAUAAGUGAAGUU
Non-coding RNA from Schistosoma mansoni, 78 nucleotides. The record is from Rfam. Lineage: Eukaryota; Metazoa; Platyhelminthes; Trematoda; Strigeidida; Schistosomatidae.